AUUGAACGCUGGCGGCAUGCCUUACACAUGCAAGUCGAACGGUAACGGGCCUUCGGGUGCCGACGAGUGGCGAACGGGUGCGUAAUACAUCGGAACGUGCCCGAUCGUGGGGGGUAACGAGGCGAAAGCUUUGCUAAUACCGCAUACGAUCUACGGACUAAAGCAGGGGGCCGCAAGUCCUUGCGCUGCCGGAGCGGCCGUUGCACGAUUAGGUAGUUGGUGGGAUAAAAGCUUACCAAGCCGACGAUCUGUAGCUGGUCUGAGAGGAUGAUCAGCCACACUGGGACUGAGACACGGCCCAGACUCCUACGGGAGGAAGAAGUGGGGAAUUUUGGACAAUGGGCGCAAGCCUGAUCCAGCCAUGCCGCGUGCAGGAUGAAGGCCUUCGGGUUGUAAACUGCUUUUGUACGGAACGAAAAGCCUUCUUUUAAUACAGGAGGGUCAUGACGGUACCGUAAGAAUAAGCACCGGCUAACUACGUG
This 482-nucleotide ribosomal RNA is filed under the name uncultured bacterium. RNAcentral's name for it is "partial 16S ribosomal RNA". It matches the Rfam family "Bacterial small subunit ribosomal RNA", at positions 30 to 507 of the family's 1533-position model. The record is from RNAcentral.